GUGGAUUAGAUACCCUGGUAGUCCACGCUGUAAACGAUGAGUGCUAGGUGUUGGGUAGCGAUACUCAGUGCCGAAGUAAACACAAUAAGCACUCCGCCUGGGGAGUACGGUCGCAAGACUGAAACUCAAAGGAAUUGACGGGGACCCGCACAAGCAGCGGAGCAUGUGGUUUAAUUCGAAGCAACGCGAAGAACCUUACCAAGGCUUGACAUCCCCUUGACCGGCACAGAGAUGUGCCCUCUCCUUCGGGAGCAAGGGUGACAGGUGGUGCACGGCCGUCGUCAACU
This 287-nucleotide ribosomal RNA is filed under the name uncultured bacterium. Its description in RNAcentral is "partial 16S ribosomal RNA". It matches the Rfam family "Bacterial small subunit ribosomal RNA", at positions 773 to 1060 of the family's 1533-position model. The record is from RNAcentral.